AUCCACUGACGAGUCCAAAAUAGGACGAAAUGCGCGUUGUCCUGGAU
This 47-nucleotide non-coding RNA is filed under the name Trichobilharzia regenti. The record is from RNAcentral. Lineage: Eukaryota; Metazoa; Platyhelminthes; Trematoda; Strigeidida; Schistosomatidae.